CAACUCCAGCAUCCCUAGUAUUGGAGGCACUGCCUGCCCAGUGACUAAACGUUAAACGGCCGCGGUAUUCUGACCGUGCAAAGGUAGCAUAAUCAUUUGUUCUCUAAAUAAGGACUUGUAUGAAUGGCCACACGAGGGUUUUACUGUCUCUUACUUCCAAUCAGUGAAAUUGACCUCCCCGUGAAGAGGCGGGGAUAAAUCAACAAGACGAGAAGACCCUAUGGAGCUUUAACUAAGUAACUCAAGGAAAAUAAAUUCAACCACCAAGGGAUAACAACACUCCUUAUGAGUUAACAGUUUCGGUUGGGGUGACCUCGGAGAACAGAAAAUCCUCCGAGCGAUUUUAAAGACUAGACUAACAAGUCAAACCAAACCAUCGCUUAUUGAUCCAAAAACUUGAUCAACGGAACAAGUUACCCUAGGGAUAACAGCGCAAUCCUAUUCAAGAGUCCAUAUCGACAAUAGGGUUUACGACCUCGAUGUUGGAUCAGGACACCCCGAUGGUGCAACCGCUAUCAAAGGUUCGUUUGUUCAACGAUUAAAGUCCU
This 548-nucleotide ribosomal RNA is filed under the name Ovis aries (sheep). Its description in RNAcentral is "partial large subunit ribosomal RNA". It matches the Rfam family "Bacterial large subunit ribosomal RNA", at positions 1826 to 2597 of the family's 2925-position model. Lineage: Eukaryota; Metazoa; Chordata; Mammalia; Artiodactyla; Bovidae. The record is from RNAcentral.